CCCUUAGAUGUUCUGGGCCGCACGCGCGCUACACUGAUGCAUUCAACGAGCCUAUCCUUGACCGACAGGUCCGGGUAAUCUUUGAAUCUGCAUCGUGACGGGGAUAGAUUAUUGCAAUUAUUAAUCUUCAACGAGGAAUGCCUAGUAGGCGCAAGUCAUCAGCUUGCGUCGAUUACGUCCCUGCCCUUUGUACACACCGCCCGUCGCUCCUACCGAUUGGGUGUGCUGGGGAAAUGUUCGGAUCGGCCGUUUGUCGCGGUUUCCGCGUCAUGUGGCUGAGAAGUUCAUUAAACCCUCCCACCUAGAGGAAGGAGAAGUCGUAACA
RNAcentral lists this ribosomal RNA (325 nucleotides) under uncultured eukaryote. RNAcentral's name for it is "partial 18S ribosomal RNA". It matches the Rfam family "Eukaryotic small subunit ribosomal RNA", at positions 1470 to 1796 of the family's 1831-position model. The record is from RNAcentral.